ACAAUGAAGAGUUUGAUCCUGGCUCAGGAUGAACGCUAGCUACAGGCUUAACACAUGCAAGUCGAGGGGCAUCAGGAAGAAAGCUUGCUUUCUUUGCUGGCGACCGGCGCACGGGUGAGUAACACGUAUCCAACCUACCCUUUACUCGGGGAUAGCCUUUCGAAAGAAAGAUUAAUACCCGAUAGCAUAAUGAUUCCGCAUGGUUUCAUUAUUAAAGGAUUCCGGUAAAGGAUGGGGAUGCGUUCCAUUAGGUUGUUGGUGGGGUAACGGCCCACCAAGCCUUCGAUGGAUAGGGGUUCUGAGAGGAAGGUCCCCCACAUUGGAACUGAGACACGGUCCAAACUCCUACGGGAGGCAGCAGUGAGGAAUAUUGGUCAAUGGGCGCUAGCCUGAACCAGCCAAGUAGCGUGAAGGAUGAAGGCUCUAUGGGUCGUAAACUUCUUUUAUAUAAGAAUAAAGUGCAGUAUGUAUACUGUUUUGUAUGUAUUAUAUGAAUAAGGAUCGGCUAACUCCGUGCCAGCAGCCGCGGUAAUACGGAGGAUCCGAGCGUUAUCCGGAUUUAUUGGGUUUAAAGGGAGCGUAGGUGGACUGGUAAGUCAGUUGUGAAAGUUUGCGGCUCAACCGUAAAAUUGCAGUUGAUACUGUCAGUCUUGAGUACAGUAGAGGUGGGCGGAAUUCGUGGUGUAGCGGUGAAAUGCUUAGAUAUCACGAAGAACUCCGAUUGCGAAGGCAGCUCACUGGACUGCAACUGACACUGAUGCUCGAAAGUGUGGGUAUCAAACAGGAUUAGAUACCCUGGUAGUCCACACAGUAAACGAUGAAUACUCGCUGUUUGCGAUAUACAGUAAGCGGCCAAGCGAAAGCAUUAAGUAUUCCACCUGGGGAGUACGCCGGCAACGGUGAAACUCAAAGGAAUUGACGGGGGCCCGCACAAGCGGAGGAACAUGUGGUUUAAUUCGAUGAUACGCGAGGAACCUUACCCGGGCUUAAAUUGCAGUGGAAUGAUGUGGAAACAUGUCAGUGAGCAAUCACCGCUGUGAAGGUGCUGCAUGGUUGUCGUCAGCUCGUGCCGUGAGGUGUCGGCUUAAGUGCCAUAACGAGCGCAACCCUUAUCUUCAGUUACUAACAGGUCAUGCUGAGGACUCUGGAGAGACUGCCGUCGUAAGAUGUGAGGAAGGUGGGGAUGACGUCAAAUCAGCACGGCCCUUACGUCCGGGGCUACACACGUGUUACAAUGGGGGGUACAGAAGGCAGCUACCUGGUGACAGGAUGCUAAUCCCAAAAGCCUCUCUCAGUUCGGAUCGAAGUCUGCAACCCGACUUCGUGAAGCUGGAUUCGCUAGUAAUCGCGCAUCAGCCACGGCGCGGUGAAUACGUUCCCGGGCCUUGUACACACCGCCCGUCAAGCCAUGGGAGCCCGGGGUACCUGAAGUACGUAACCGCAAGGAUCGUCCUAGGGUAAAACUGGUGACUGGGGCUAAGUCGUAACAAGGUAGCCGUACCGGAAGGUGCGGCUGGAACACCUCCUUU
Molecule: ribosomal RNA, 1529 nt
Filed under: Bacteroides fragilis
Lineage: Bacteria; Pseudomonadati; Bacteroidota; Bacteroidia; Bacteroidales; Bacteroidaceae
Description: bacterial SSU rRNA
Rfam family: Bacterial small subunit ribosomal RNA
Source: RNAcentral